RNAcentral lists this ribosomal RNA (1564 nucleotides) under Tupaia montana (Mountain treeshrew). RNAcentral's name for it is "16S ribosomal RNA". It matches the Rfam family "Bacterial large subunit ribosomal RNA". The record is from RNAcentral. Lineage: Eukaryota; Metazoa; Chordata; Mammalia; Scandentia; Tupaiidae.
ACUGAUUCUAGCCCAAGCACAUACCCACCCAACAAUAACAACUUAUUAAAAUAAAGCAUUUAACCGUCAGGAGUAUAGGAGAUAGAAACUCUACCAAGGCGCUAUAGAGAAAGUACCGUAAGGGAAAGAUGAAAGAUACCCCAACAGUAAAAAAAAGCAAAGAUUAACCCUUGUACCUUUUGCAUAAUGAACUAGCCAGAACAAGCUUAGCAAAGAGAACUUAAGUUAAACACCCCGAAACCAGACGAGCUACUUAUGAACAGCUGACAGAGCAAAUUCAUCUAUGUUGCAAAAUAGUGAAGUGAUUUGUAAGUAGAGGUGACAAGCCUACCGAGCCUGGUGAUAGCUGGUUGUCCAGUACAGAAUUUUAGUUCAACUUUAAGUCAUACCCAGAGAAAAACCAAUCCUAAUGUAGACUUAAAUGUUAAUCUAAGGGGGUACAGCUCCUUAGACUCAGGUAAAACCUUAUUUAGAGAGUAAAAAACCACACACCCAUAGUUGGCUUAAAAGCAGCCACCAAUUAAGAAAGCGUUCAAGCUCGACAGUAAACAAAUAUUUUGAUACCACCAUUCACAGUCAACUCCUAAAGCCAAACUGGACUAAUCUACAUCUAUGUAGAUGAGAUACUGCUAGCAUGAGUAACAAGAAGUAAUUCUCCCUGCACAAGCCUAUAUCAGAACGGAUGCCCGCUGAUAGUUAACAGCCCAAUAAAACUCAAUUAUCACCCAAGAUCUUUAUUAAACAAACUGUUGACCCAACACCGGAGUGCACAAACCAAAGGGAAAGAUUAAAAAGAGUAAAAGGAACUCGGCAAACAUAAACCCCGCCUGUUUACCAAAAACAUCACCUCUAGCAUAGUAAGUAUUAGAGGCACUGCCUGCCCAGUGACAUAAGUUAAACGGCCGCGGUAUCCUGACCGUGCAAAGGUAGCAUAAUCAUUUGUUCCUUAAUUAGGGACUUGUAUGAAUGGCCACACGAGGGUUUAACUGUCUCUUGCUCUCAAUCAGUGAAAUUGACCUCCCCGUGAAGAGGCGGGGAUAUCCAAACAAGACGAGAAGACCCUAUGGAGCUUUAAUUAACUAGCUCACAUACAGUCAACCUAACCCAAACGGAAAUAAAACAUGUAUCCUGAGCUAGCAAUUUUGGUUGGGGUGACCUCGGAGAACAGACCAUCCUCCGAAACAAUAAGCCAAGACAUGACAAGUCAAAGCAACUUAAACCGUAAUUGAUCCAAUAAAUUGAUCAAUGGAACCAGUUACCCUAGGGAUAACAGCGCAAUCCUAUUUUAGAGUCCAUAUCGACAAUAGGGUUUACGACCUCGAUGUUGGAUCAGGACAUCCCAAUGGUGCAACCGCUAUUAAUGGUUCGUUUGUUCAACGAUUAAAGUCCUACGUGAUCUGAGUUCAGACCGGAGUAAUCCAGGUCGGUUUCUAUCUAUUAGAUACUCCUCCCAGUACGAAAGGACAAGAGGAAUAAGGCCAAUUCACCAAGAACGCCUUAAACUUAAUAGAUGAAUUCAUCUAAAUCUAGUGAGUUAUCAUAACCCUGCCCAAGAGCAGGGCUC